This 72-nucleotide transfer RNA is filed under the name Cricetulus griseus (Chinese hamster). It matches the Rfam family "tRNA". Rfam says of the family: Transfer RNA (tRNA) molecules are approximately 80 nucleotides in length. Lineage: Eukaryota; Metazoa; Chordata; Mammalia; Rodentia; Cricetidae. The record is from Rfam by way of RNAcentral.
GGGCAUGUAGCUCAAUGGUACAGUAUUUGCCUGGUGUGCACUAGGUACUGAGUUCAAGACCCAGCAUUGCCA